UACGUAGGGGGCAAGCGUUAUCCGGAUUUACUGGGUGUAAAGGGAGCGUAGACGGCGAUGCAAGCCAGAUGUGAAAGCCCGGGGCUCAACCCCGGGACUGCAUUUGAACUGUAUAGCUAGAGUGUCGGAGAGGCAGGCGGAAUUCCUAGUGUAGCGGUGAAAUGCGUAGAUAUUAGGAGGAACACCAGUGGCGAAGGCGGCCUGCUGGACGAUGACUGACGUUGAGGCUCGAAAGCGUGGGGAGCAAACAGG
This 252-nucleotide ribosomal RNA is filed under the name uncultured bacterium. RNAcentral describes it as "partial 16S ribosomal RNA". It matches the Rfam family "Bacterial small subunit ribosomal RNA", at positions 524 to 776 of the family's 1533-position model. The record is from RNAcentral.